Molecule: long non-coding RNA, 6521 nt
Filed under: Salmo salar (Atlantic salmon)
Lineage: Eukaryota; Metazoa; Chordata; Actinopteri; Salmoniformes; Salmonidae
Description: lncRNA (ENSSSAG00000102693.1)
Source: RNAcentral
GGGGGGGGGGGGGGAACGGUGGCCCUAAGGGGCCAAGUAGCUUUGUAUGAAGGGAGUAAGUGUUGUGGUGUUGAAAGGUAGCACUAAACAUGGCACCAAAGGAGAGGAUACAAUCUGAUUAUUACAGUGAUGACGACAUGUUAGGAAAACACAUUGAGGCUUGUUACCUCGGAGUUAGGCUCAGGUAUAUAUCUUUGGGCUAGGGGGUGGUAUUUUCACAUCCGGAUGAAAAGCAUGCCCAAAGUAAACUGCCUGCUACUCAGGCCCAGAAGCUAGGAUAUGCAUAUAAUUGGUAGAUUUGGAUAGAAAACACUCUAAAGUUUCUACAACUGUUAAAAUAAGGUCUGUGAGUAUAACAGAACUUAUUUGGCAGGCGAAGCCCCGAGGACAAACCAUCCAGGAUUAGUUUUUUGUUGAGUUGACUGUGUUUUCUAUUGGUUUUCUAUGGUAAACUAGAUUUAUGAGGCACCUGGUUGCAAUUCCUAUGGCUUCCACUAGAUGUCAACAGUCUUUAGAAAUUGGUUGAUGUUUUUCCUUUGAGAAAUGAAGUAGUACGGCUAUUCAGAAUGAGAGUCAAGCCAAGUGGACUCUUGUUUGGGGCGAGCGACCUGCAGCUCGCUCCACUUUGAUUUUAUCCGCUAUUGAACACAGUAUAUUCCGUCUUAAAUUUGAUCGAUUAUUUACGUUUUAGGAUACCUAAGUAAGGUAUGAAGUAAGGCAUGAAUUAUAUCGUUAUUUCUGACUUUUUUUGUCGCACUUCCCGAUUGAAAAAUGUUUGUCAUGCAUUUGUAUGCGGGGUGCUGUCCUCAGAUAAUCGCAUGGUUUGCUUUCGCCGUAAAGCCUUUUUGAAAUCUGACAUGGUGGCUGGAUUAACAAGAAGUUAAGCUUUAUUUUUUAUGUAUUACACUUGUGAUUUCGUGAAAGUUAAAUAUUUAUAGUAAUUUAAUUUGAAUUUGGUGCUCUGCCAUUUCACCGGAUGUUGUCAAAUCGAUCCUGCUAAAGGGAUUUGAUCCCUAAGAAGUUUUAAAACACAUUGUGGCUUGUUACCUGGGAGUUAGGCUCAGGUAUUUAAAACAGAUUGAGGCUUGUUACCUGGGCGUUAGGCUCAGGUAUUUAAAACACAUUGUGUCUUGUUACCUGGGAGUUAGGCUCAGGUAUUUAAAACACAUUGUGUCUUGUUACCUGGGAGUUAGGCUCAGGUAUUUAAAACACAUUGUGGCUUGUUACCUGGGAGUUAGGCUCAGGUAUUUAAAACACAUUGAGGCUUGUUACCUGGGAGUUGGGCUCAAGUAUUUAAAACACAGUGUGGCUUGUUACCUGGGAGUUAGUCUCAGGUAUUUAAAACACAUUGUGGCUUGUUACCUGGGAGUUAGGCUCAGGUAUUUAAAACACAUUGUGGCUUGUUACCUGGGAGUUAGGCUCAGGUAUUUUACUCUUGAUAAAAUACACUUCUACUGCUCUCAUCUUGCUCAGGUGAAUGGUCCCAUCAGCGCUUGUGAGCACACCCUUACAGUAUUAGAUAGGGAGAACUGAGGUGUAGUCAAUAUUCUCUUCUGCAACAGAAGUCCUUCAACCCAUCAUGGGUCCACAAAGACCGGUUCUUUCCCUGUCGUAUUUAAAUGCAGUGUUUAUGUAGCUCUCAUAUGCAUAGAAAUGUCCCAAAUGGAACCCUAUUCCUUAUAUACAGCUAUGGGCCCUCGUCUAAAGCAUUGCACUGGAUAGGGAAUAUGGUGCUAUUUGGGAUGCAACCCUAAGUAUUCUCUGACUCUUCAACUGGCCCACUAGCCAAGUUCAUGUUUUAAUGGGGGAUCUGGCGGUCAGAUUGAUUCUUUAACUGGCCCACUAGACAAGUUCAUGUUUUAAUGGGGGAUCUGGCCUUCAGACUGAUUAUUCAACUGGCCCACUAGCCAAGUUCUUGUUUUAAUGGGGGAUCUGGCCUUUAGACUGAUUCUUCAACUGGCCCACUAGCCACGGUCGUGUUUUAAUGGGGGAUCUGGCUUUCAGACUGAUUCUUCAACUGGCCCACUAGCCAAGUACAUGUUUUAAUGGGGGAUCUGGCCUUCUGACUGAUUCUUCAACUGGCCCACUAGCCAAGUUUAUGUUUUAAUGGGGGAUCUGGCCUUCAGACUGAUUUUUCAACUGGCCCUCUAGCCAAGUACAUGUUUUAAUGGGAGAUCUGGCCUUCAGACUGAUUCUUCAACUGGCCCACUAGCCAAGUGUAUGUUUGAAUAGGGGAUCUGGCCUUCUGACUGAUUCUUCAACUGGCCCACAAGCCAAGUUCAUGUUUUAAUGGGGGAUCUGGCCUUCAGACUGAUUAUUCAACUGGCCCACUAGCCAAGUUCAUGUUUUAAUGGGGGAUCUGGCCUUCAGACUGAUUCUUCAACUGGCCCACUAGCCAAGUUCGUGUUUUAAUGGGGGAUCUGGCCUUCAGACUGAUUCUUCAACUGGCCCACUAGCCAAGUACAUGUUUUAAUGGGGGAUCUGGCUUUCAGACUGAUUCUUCAACUGGCCCACUAGCCAAGUACAUGUUUUAAUGGGGGAUCUGGCCUUCAGACUGAUUCUUCAACUGGCCCACUAGCCAAGUUCAUGUUUUAAUGGGGGAUCUGGCCUUCAGACUGAUUCUUCAACUGGCCCACUAGCCAAGUGUAUGUUUGAAUAGGGGAUCUGGCCUUCUGACUGAUUCUUCAACUGGCCCACAAGCCAAGUUCAUGUUUUAAUGGGGGAUAUGGCCUUCAGACUGGUUCAACUGGCCCACUAGACAAGCUCAUGUUUUAAUGGGGAAUCUGGCCUUCAGACCGUUAACAUUGCUGUUGUUGUGACUGACUGACUAAUUGACUGUCUGACUGUCUGACUGACUAACUGGCUGACUGUCUGUCUGACUGUCUGACUGGCUGUCAGACUGUUAUGCUGACUGGAUGACUGACUGACUGACUGGCUGACUGUCUGACUGGCUGUCUGACUGGCUGACUGGCUGUCUGACUGGCUGUCUGACUGUCUGACUGGCUGUCAGACUGUUAUGCUGACUGGAUGACUGGCUGACUGGCUGUCAGACUGACUGUCUAUCUGACUGACUGACUGACUGGCUGACUGUCUGACUGGCUGUCUGGCUGUCUGACUGGCUGUCUGACUGGCUGUCUGACUGGCUGACUGUCUGGCUGGCUGACUGGCUGGCUGACUAGCUGACUGGCUGACUGGCUGGCUGACUAGCUGACUGACUGACUGGCUGACUGGCUGUUGUGUUUCCCUCGGGUUGUUUGAUAAACCCCCAGAAGACUCCUGUAUAAUAAUCCAGAUAAACCCCCAGAGGACUCCUGUAUAAUGAUCCAGAUAAACCCCCAGAGGACUCCUGUAUAAUGAUCCAGAUAAACCCCCAGAGGACUCCUGUAUAAUGAUCCGGAUAAACCCCCAGAGGACUCCUGUAUAUUGAUCCGGAUAAACCCCCAGAGGACUCCUGUAUAAUGAUCCGGAUAAACCCCCAGAGGACUCCUGUAUAAUGAUCCAGAUAAACCCCCCCCGAGGACUCCUGUAUAAUGAUCCAGAUAAACCCCCAGAGGACUCCUGUAUAAUGAUCCAGAUAAAAAGCUGUAUAAAGGGUGAUGUUAAAGCCUUUUAACGACCCACAUACCCAGAGUAUUUACCCCCACCCUUACCCAUCAUUACACCACCAACCAUUUCCAUAUCUUCAGUGAUUGGAUCACCCUGAAGGGAGUCAACGUGAACACAUUUCUUACAGACUGAUAAUAUGUCAUCUCUACUAAUGCCACAGAGGAAUUCUUAUCUUCCACACUGUAUUUGUUGAUAAAGGGGAUUCCUAUCCUACUCACUUUAAAUGUUGUUAUCAUUAUUAUUUUGUUUUCUGUAUCAGAAGUGAGUAGACUCUAUCAGAGGGAUGUGAUUGAAAACAGUAUUUCAGGGUUGGUUUAGUAGAUGGGUGCUUUGAGUUUUACCUGAAGAAUCAUAACGUUUAUGAUUUAUUGAUUUUCACAAUCCUGUUUGUGUUUGCACUGAACAUUGCAGUUUAGCAUGAAAUUAUUAGUAAAAAGUAAAAUAUUGUAGGUUUAUUUUCCACAGCACAGAAAUGAAGGAUGAGCAGUUCAUGGUGAAUACUUGAUAUCUGGAAGAGACCAUAGUUAAAAAGUCCAUAAAUACUGACAGCUUUUGUAGCUACACUUAUCUACCUUAUUACAUAUGAUUAAUUGGAUAACUUUGGCUGGUAAAAUGCUAUUUUCUUUUGGUACUUAUCUCAUGAAUCUCCUAUGUUUUGGAUUGACGGGUUCACAAAGUGCUAACGGGUAUUUCUACGGGAGAGAAGAUACACAGUGCCAAACUAAUGUACAUUAAGUAUUAGAAUUGGAAGGUCCAGGGAGCCAGAAUCACACUAGCUUUUAGAUUAAACUGAGAAAAUCCCAUUAAAUCUGACUCCAGAAAUAUGUUAUUAAUCAACUGUCAAGGGGUGAGUGUAACUGGUGCAUGGAAGUCAGGCGCAGGAGAGCAGAGAUGAGUGGACAAAGCACUUUACUAGGCAAUAUAGCACAGAACGCAACCGCGUCACAAAACAAACGCCCAGCGAACCAGUAAGGCAGCACAAGUACAAAAAAACCCAAGUACAAAGUACAGGCUGCCACAAAGCACGGGUCAUAAAUUAAACCCGGCACAAACCAGCCGGAAGCGUGCCAACCUCAACAAUAAACAAUUACACACACAGACAUGGGGGGGGACACAGAGAGUUAAAUACACGACAUGUAAUGAGGGAAUGAAUACCAGGUGUGUGGGAAAACAAGACAAAACAAAUGGAAAAUGAAAAGUGGAUUGGCGAUGGCUAGAAGACCGGUGACGUCAACCGCCGAACGCCGCCCCGAACAAGGAGAGGAACCGACUUCGGUGGAAGUCGUGACGUCAACAUUUUAGAAGGAGAAACGCUAACUAAAUACGUCUAUCGUCUAAUUGGAUUAGCCGUUGACCGUAUCUAUAGUAAUCUUUUAAAAACUUGUGUUGUCAUCAAAAUGCAUCGAGGGUGUAAUAUCAGUGAGUCAAAUUGUGGUUUGAGCCAUACUACCUUCAAUAGAAUUCAUAUCUGUAUUUAUUCUACGUAAUUAUCCUUAUUAACAAAGUGGGUGAGCUGGUUGUUUUGAUGGAUUACACAGUACUGUAACACUCAGUCAAGAUGACUAAUAACGCCUUAUAAACGUAACGAUGGUAUCAUUUCUGUCAUAUAAUAUAACAAAUCUCCUUUCAGCAAAAGGGGGAUUCAUUCUAUAGAGAUUGGUAUUAUCAUCAUAAUAAAAUGAACGGAGAGAUCAAGACUAGAUCGUCUGUCAUUGCCUUAUUAAUUUAUAUGUAUUAACUUGUUGUUGGGAUCCUCCUGUGUUAUGCUGUACCAGGGAUGGGCAUCUCUAGUCCUUCGGGGGGCCUGAUUGGUGAUACACUUUGUCCCCAGCUAACACACCUGACUCCAAUAAUCAACUAAUCCUGGUCUUCUGUUUAGAUGCGUUUUAAUCAGGUGUGUCGGCUAUAACGGUUCGGACUGCAGUUGCCCAUCCCUGCCUUGACUAUCCUCAUGUUGCAUAUAGAUUCUUGGCUGACGUUUUUUCACUCAUGACAUUAUAGUAAAAUUAUCGUUCACUUGAAUGAACGAUGAAUUCUGAUGAAUAUUAUGAUAAACAUGUCAAUGUGUUGUUAGUUGGUGAUAUUCUGUAGAGCUCUGCAAAGUUUAUUACAGUAAAACAUAUACAGGAAGAGUGAGAUUGUUAAAACAGUAUUUUGGUGUCAUUUGAUACGAACUAAAUGUAAUUUCUGGAGAUGUUGUUGAAGUGUUUCAGAAUGUACAGUUUAUAAUACCAGCCAUGGGGUUUAAAAUGUCUCCGUCUCGUUGACUCUGUAUUGAGGGUUCCAUACCUCCUUUUAUCACUGUUGUUGAUUGGUUCAAAGAAGAUACAUAAUUACAUAUUUAUAUGUACCAACCUAACUUAUUAGAAUUUAUUCAAAUUGGAACUCAUUACAUUUGGUUGGUACGUAUCAUGAUGAUGCUGACAAUGUUGAUGAUGGUGAUGAUGAAGAUUGUGAUGAUGAAGAUGAAGAUGAAGAGUGUGAUGAUGAUGAUGAAGAUUGUGAUGUCGAUGAUGAGGAAGAUGAUGAUGACGAUGGUGAUGUUGAUGAUGAGAAUGAUGAUGAAGAUUGUGAUGUUGAUGAUGUUGAUGUUGAUGAAGAGUGUGAUGAUGAUGAAGAUGAAGAUGGUGAUGUUGUUGAUGAUGAUGAAGAUGGUGAUGUUGAUGAAGAUUGUGAUGUUGAUGAUGAAGAGUGUGAUGAUGUUGAGGAUGAUGAUGAUGGUGUUGAUGAUGAUGAUGAAGAGUGUGAUGUUGAUGAUGAAGAGUGUGGUGUUGAUGAGGAUGAUGAAGAUUGUGAUGUUGAUGUUUAUGAUGAGGAAGAGUGUGAUGUUGAUGAUGAGGAUGAUGAUGAAGAGUGUGAUGUUGAUGAUGAGGAUGAUGAUGAUGAUGAUUAUCAUUAAACCACAGUUGUCAUUA